Molecule: ribosomal RNA, 548 nt
Filed under: Raorchestes sp. RM181102
Lineage: Eukaryota; Metazoa; Chordata; Amphibia; Anura; Rhacophoridae
Description: partial large subunit ribosomal RNA
Rfam family: Bacterial large subunit ribosomal RNA
Source: RNAcentral
AGUCCCGCCUGCCCAGUGAUAAACUUCAACGGCCGCGGUACCCUAACCGUGCAAAGGUAGCAUAAUCACUUGUUCUCUAAAUAAGGACUUGUAUCAAUGGCAUCACGAGGGUUGCACUGUCUCCCCCCUCCAAUCAGUGAAACUGAUCUCCCUGUGAAAAAGCAGGGAUAAAACUAUAAGACGAGAAGACCCCAUGGAGCUUUAAACCAACAGCAAUUUAGUAAAAUUUCCUUACAGCUUCAAAAUUAUGCUAACGGCUUUAGGUUGGGGUGACCGCGGAGUAAAAUUUAACCUCCAUGUUGAAAAGAUUUAUCUUAACCCAAGAACCACUACUCUAAGAAUUAGAAAACUAACAAACUAUGACCCGAUUGUCGAUCAACGAACCAAGUUACCCUGGGGAUAACAGCGCAAUCUACUUCAAGAGUUCCUAUCGACAAGUAGGCUUACGACCUCGAUGUUGGAUCAGGGUGUCCUAGUGGUGCAACCGCUACUAAAGGUUCGUUUGUUCAACGAUUAAAACCCUACGUGAUCUGAGUUCAGACCGGAAC